This 366-nucleotide ribosomal RNA is filed under the name Triticum aestivum (bread wheat). RNAcentral describes it as "partial small subunit ribosomal RNA". Lineage: Eukaryota; Viridiplantae; Streptophyta; Magnoliopsida; Poales; Poaceae. The record is from RNAcentral.
AUGAGAGGAAUUCAGCACAGAAUUGACUUAAUUCCAGGAGCAAGUCUUCCUAAUCUUCCACACUAUCGAAUGAUCCCAAAGGAGCAUGAUAUAUUGAAGGAGAAAGUGGAGGAAUUGUUGCAAAAGGGGCACAUUCAAGAAAGUAUUAGCCCAUGUGUUGUACCAGCCCUACUCGCGUCAAAGAAAGAUGGAUCUUGGCGCAUGUGUACGGACAGUAGAGCUGUUAACAAGAUCACCGUAAGGUAUAGAUUCCCUAUUCCCCGUCUGGAUGAUAUGUUGGAUCAGCUUAGUGGAGCAAGAGUGUUCACAAAGCUAGAUUUAAGAAGUGGGUAUCAUCAAAUCUGUAUAAGACCCGGGGGUGAAUGA